CAAGGGAGUGUGUAGUAGCUGGUGAUAGGGGAGAGGAUCAGAAACUGAAAACGAAAUGAGAGGAUUCCCUACUAUCUUUGCAUUCUUGGUGGUGUUAAUAUUUUCCACCACCAGGAAUAGUUGCAGUGCUGCUUUCCUUCAGAAGAGCAACACCACUUUCCGGUGUGAGGAUGGCCACCUGGACGAGUGCCUGAUCGCCGAGGACUUGGAAUUAGAGGUGUUGAUGGAUUCUUACAUUACCCGAAUCCUUGAUGAUACAGCUGAUCCGUAUACUGAUUUCACCUUGCACGCUGCCGAAGUCAGAGUGUGUAAAAGCAAUGAAAAUCCAUCAUAUAAUCAUUGCAAAUGCCCCAUUUACAACCCCAAUUGCGGAAAAAAAUAGAAAAAACCAUAGCUGUGGUUACUGUUUUUAUCCCAUUUAUUAUCUAUAUGUAUGUUUGUGUGACAAUGUCUGCUUCAUCCCCACUUCCCCGGCGCGAUUCCCUCUUUGGGUCAAUAACAAACUUCAUUCUGCAGAGAUGAAGAACAAGAUAGAAAUGAAUCAAUCCCCCCACUAUGAUCAACAUGUAUGCUUUUGCGGUUUCCUUGCUAAAUGUUAUGUCUUUUCCAAAUGUGUCUAUAUAUAUA
RNAcentral lists this unclassified non-coding RNA (627 nucleotides) under Hevea brasiliensis (rubber tree). Lineage: Eukaryota; Viridiplantae; Streptophyta; Magnoliopsida; Malpighiales; Euphorbiaceae. The record is from RNAcentral.